UGGCUCAGAACGAACGCUGGCGGCAGGCCUAACACAUGCAAGUCGAACGAAGCCUUCGGGCUUAGUGGCGGACGGGUUAGUAACGCGUGGGAACGUGCCUUUCACUACGGAAUAGUCCCGGGAAACUGGGUUUAAUACCGUAUACGCCCUUCGGGGGAAAGAAUUUCGGUGAAAGAUCGGCCCGCGUUAGAUUAGGUAGUUGGUGGGGUAAUGGCCUACCAAGCCUACGAUCUAUAGCUGGUUUUAGAGGAUGAUCAGCAACACUGGGACUGAGACACGGCCCAGACUCCUACGGGAGGCAGCAGUGGGGAAUCUUGGACAAUGGGCGCAAGCCUGAUCCAGCCAUGCCGCGUGAGUGAUGAAGGCCUUAGGGUCGUAAAGCUCUUUCGCCAGGGAUGAUAAUGACAGUACCUGGUAAA
This 419-nucleotide ribosomal RNA is filed under the name uncultured Alphaproteobacteria bacterium. RNAcentral describes it as "bacterial SSU rRNA". It matches the Rfam family "Bacterial small subunit ribosomal RNA", at positions 20 to 486 of the family's 1533-position model. The record is from RNAcentral. Lineage: Bacteria; Pseudomonadati; Pseudomonadota; Alphaproteobacteria.